Molecule: long non-coding RNA, 1142 nt
Filed under: Felis catus (domestic cat)
Lineage: Eukaryota; Metazoa; Chordata; Mammalia; Carnivora; Felidae
Description: lncRNA (ENSFCAG00000048531.1)
Source: RNAcentral
AAAAAAGGACAUUUGCAUAAACCAUAUUUAACCAGAACCUUUGUUUUAUGUUUUUCCUUUCUGAAUGCUUUGUUGAACUCCCUUGCAGUUCCCCUCCCUGUCCCUCGACCCCAGCUAGUCAGAGACCAAAGCCUUGACAAUGUUUCACACUGGAAUCUUCCUGGCCCCACCCUAAUCAUCAUGCCUGAAUAAUUACAGUUUCUGACUUGUCUCCCUGCUUCCGUUUCUGUCCAUUCUUAAACCCUUGGACACGUUAAUCUUCCCAGAAUAUCACUGUGAUUCUGUCCUUCUCUUGCUCAAGGGUUCCCAGAAACUACAGAAAAAACUUUGCAAGCUUUCAUCUGGGAUUUAAAGCUGUUCUUUGCCUUUCUCAUUGCUGGUUCUCUGCUAAGCCCAUAAGACCUAUCUGACAUCUCUGACUUCAACACUUUUGUCUUGGAUACUUAACUCACCUUCUGUUUCCUAAUUAGACUUCAUUCAGGGUCUAAUUCUAUCUAUAAAUUCUGCUUCCCUUUGCCAUGUGGUCCAUCCCUCCUCUGAACCGCAGCAUCUCUGGCUUGCACUCUUCGGCAGGCCAUAGCACAUGCUGCCUUGACUUCCAGUUACACAUCUUUUUCUUUCCACUUCUAGAUGCUGGGCCCUUCAGGGCAGGGCUCUGCCCCGUGUGGCCACAUUUCUUGUAAUGUUCUUCCGCCAUAGAGCCUCAUCAAGAAGAGACAGCUUUCUCCUGAUAGGAUACGGAUUUGGAUAUCAGGACAAGUUCUCAUAUCUGCUUCUGCUCGGGGCCUUGCAUAAAAUCCAGAAUCCUACACCACGAAAGCAUGACAGGCAAGAUUUGGGUGGAAAACAAUCUCCAUUUAAGGUUCAGUUCAGAAAACAAUAUCAUACCUGACUCAACCGUUGCAAUAACCGUGCAAGGUAAACAAGGCAUCUUUCAUUCUUAUGUUAUACGUAAGGAAACAGGAAACCAAGUCUCAGGAAGGUCAAACUCAAGGUUUUGGGGGAAAUUUAUCUUAUGAACCCUUAUUUAUUUUCUUAUGAAUGCUAUGAAUCUUUGUUUAAGGAUAUAGCACGAGAUAAUUCCUAAGAUCACAUCGUAGCCUUAGGGUUUAAAUAAAGCACUGUGUUUUUCAACGUACGCA